UAGGGAAUCUUCCGCAAUGGGCGAAAGCUUGACGGAGCAACGCCGCGUGAGUGAUGAAGGUCUUCGGAUCGUAAAACUCUGUUAUUAGGGAAGAACAAAUGUGUAAGUAACUAUGCACGUCUUGACGGUACCUAAUCAGAAAGCCACGGCUAACUACGUGCCAGCAGCCGCGGUAAUACGUAGGUGGCAAGCGUUAUCCGGAAUUAUUGGGCGUAAAGCGCGCGUAGGCGGUUUUUUAAGUCUGAUGUGAAAGCCCACGGCUCAACCGUGGAGGGUCAUUGGAAACUGGAACACUUGAGUGCAGAAGAGGAAAGUGGAAUUCCAUGUGUAGCGGUGAAAUGCGCAGAGAUAUGGAGGAACACCAGUGGCGAAGGCGACUUUCUGGUCUGUAACUGACGCUGAUGUGCGAAAGCGUGGGGAUCAAACAGG
RNAcentral lists this ribosomal RNA (429 nucleotides) under Actinomycetes bacterium. Its description in RNAcentral is "Actinobacteria bacterium partial 16S ribosomal RNA". It matches the Rfam family "Bacterial small subunit ribosomal RNA", at positions 355 to 776 of the family's 1533-position model. Lineage: Bacteria; Bacillati; Actinomycetota; Actinomycetes. The record is from RNAcentral.